RNAcentral lists this ribosomal RNA (339 nucleotides) under uncultured bacterium. Its description in RNAcentral is "bacterial SSU rRNA". It matches the Rfam family "Bacterial small subunit ribosomal RNA", at positions 22 to 356 of the family's 1533-position model. The record is from RNAcentral.
GCUCAGGACGAACGCUGGCGGCGCGCCUAACACAUGCAAGUCGAACGAGCGAGAGAGAGCUUGCUUUCUCAAGCGAGUGGCGAACGGGUGAGUAACGCGUGAGGAACCUGCCUCAAAGAGGGGGACAACAGUUGGAAACGACUGCUAAUACCGCAUAAGCCCACGACCCGGCAUCGGGUAGAGGGAAAAGGAGCAAUCCGCUUUGAGAUGGCCUCGCGUCCGAUUAGCUAGUUGGUGAGGUAACGGCCCACCAAGGCGACGAUCGGUAGCCGGACUGAGAGGUUGAACGGCCACAUUGGGACUGAGACACGGCCCAGACUCCUACGGGAGGCAGCAGUA